Xenopus tropicalis (tropical clawed frog) is the source of this 563-nucleotide long non-coding RNA. RefSeq lists it as uncharacterized. The transcript is spliced from 4 exons. Lineage: Eukaryota; Metazoa; Chordata; Amphibia; Anura; Pipidae. The record is from RefSeq and is a predicted model, not a curated record.
CCAUCCCCCCCCCUCCAGUCAGCAAAGGGAGGGAGAAGACUAUAUAACUCAGAGGGCUGAAUACCGAAAGUCAGCUUACAGCAAAGGGUUCAGCAACAGAAGAUUUUUCUACACACUCAAGCCCCAUUAUGAAGCUGCUAACUGCUUCCAUUUUAAUUGUCCUCUUGGCUGUUUGUACAGUUUCUGCUGAGGAGUCCGUCUUAAGCUCUGUUGUAAGCUAUGUGCAGGAGUUUUCCAGCGAUGUAGUCGGUAAAGCGACAGAUGCUGUGAACACGGUGAAAGAACUGCCUCUGGCCCAAAAUGCAAUGGACAUCUAUGAUGCAGGAGCUGGCUAUGUCUCAUCAUUUGUCAGCUCUGCUGUGGACUUUGCCAGUGAUAAAUGGCAGCAAUUGACAAAAGCCUUCUAAACCCUUUUUCUCUAAAAUGUAUCUUAACAACGAAAAUGGUUCUAGUGGUGUAGGGUAUCUAUCUUCCCAACUGUCUGGGCAGUAACUCUGUGAUCCUAUUUUAAUAAUAUAAAAUACCUUUUUUGUAAAUAAAAUUUCCAUUGUUUGGGAGCUGGA